Molecule: long non-coding RNA, 2066 nt
Organism: Lates calcarifer (barramundi perch)
Lineage: Eukaryota; Metazoa; Chordata; Actinopteri; Centropomidae
Exons: 2
Source: RefSeq, a predicted model, not a curated record
GGUGGGAGGUUAAAGGAGACAGCUGGAGCAGGUGCAUACAGCACUGUAGGAGGAUGCUGGAUGAUCGACAGCUGGAUCAAAGUAUGUGUGUGAUGAUGCUGUUGUUGUGAUGAGGAGGAGGAGGAGGAGGAGGAGGGGUUUUGUGGUGAGAUCUGGGUGAGAGGUUGAGGGUGGGUGACUCAGCCCUCACAGCCACUUCCUUUGGCAUCUUCAGGAUGGAGAGAUGAAAGGAGGAGAGGGGAGCGAGUCAUCUUACGGUCAGCUGACUCACCAUAUAGGAGCGGGGAUACUGGGAAAAGGGAAGUAUGUAUGCAUGUAUGAGCCCUGUGGUGUUUGACAGAAGCACAAUUAUUCCAUUUCCCGUCACAUAACAGGAAUGCAGGGUGAGAUUCCUUCUCUGUGAGUCGUGCCCUCUCACCUGCCAUCACCAUGCGGAUACAAUUUCACCCUUCCCUUUCCCGCUUUUGGCCGGGGAAUUCCCCAGUUUGUGUGGUUUUUUUACUCAUGGAGGAAGUUGGAGGAAGUUGUUUGUAUAAGCCUUGUUGUUCUGGUAAUAAUUGAAUACUCAGAGUCAUGACUAGUUUAGCAAAACUAUGUUCUUGUUUUCUCCACGCAUGGUUUAUUUUGUUCAUUUAAAGGAGGUCUAAUGCAGCUCUUAAAUGUGGGAAAUGGAGGAAAAACACACUGUUGUGAGGUAUUUUCACAGCACGGAGGAAAUGAAUCUAGAGGAUUAUGUGGAAGGAGUGUGUAAAUGGAGUAAUUGCUUGUUUGUGUUGGCGAGAGCAGGGAUGCUUUGUCAUGCUGGAUGUGCGGUAUCUGUGUGUGUGUUUGUGAGAAAGAGAGAGCACUUGAGCAGCUGCUACUGUACAUUUUAUGUGAUGUAUAGCUAUUUAUCUUGUGAGAACUGUCCUCUAAAGCUUGUAAAACAUUCAUAUCUUCCCAGUUUACUUCCUCAUUACUUACUGUAAAUACGGAUAUUAAUACAGUGCAGUCUAUGUGCAUGUGUGUGUGUGUGGGUGCUUGUGUUGACUCACAGUUACAAUAAUGACUCUGGCAAAACAGUGGAUGAACAGCUCAUGCUGACUGUAAAGAGCAGAGAGAGAGAGAGAGAGAGGAAGAGAGAGAGAGAGAGGCGAGGGGGCUGUGCUCUCAGUGGCAUCUCCAUCUCAUAACUCCUCUGCCGCUCAGUGCGUUCAUACACGCACACACACUCUACAAACACACACACACACUCACAUAGAGGCUAAAGCUCCUACAGUACAGUAUAUUACUUUAGUAGGGUACGGGUUUGGGGCUGACUUUCAGUCGGAACAGCAAGUGUGAGAACGGCUCCAGGGAGGAAAUAAUGCAUCGUGUGGUAGGUGGCCAAGCAUUUGCAACAGAACGGACCAUCGAGCAGUGAGAGGACAGCUUCCUUCUUCAGACAACAACUUUUGACCUACAUCUGCAUCCAAUUAGCCACACAAGUCUUACCAUUCCUUCUUACGCAAUAUCAAGAAUAAUUUUUUCUGUAUCCAACGUGUCUUGUACUGCAUAUUUGUAGCACAGUGCACUGUCUGUAACAAUCAGAGGAUUUGUUGAGUGAAGGACUGCACUCAGAAACUGAUUUCAUUUGGUGACGUAGAUGUUUGUACCCAGUCUCUAGCACCAUAUGAAAUCAGUGUUCUGGGAGGUGGACUAUCAGCAUGUACAGACUCUGUACAUGAAUAAUCUGAAAUACAACAUGUUCUUGUGAUGCCUAAAAGUAGGUCACAUUUGUAUAAAUUACUGUACUCUCCUGCUUCAUUCACUAACUGGUCACAGCUGCUGUCCUGCUUCUCAUUACAUCUUUUUUCCCUAUGCCUGUGUCUCCCAUCAACUCAGACAUAUAUAUGUUAUCAUGAGUCCACCUUUAUUCAUCUAUGAAUUCAGUUUCCAUCAUUUGUGUUGCUUUAAUACAUUUUCUAAGUUUAACUGAAUGCAUAAUAAUCUAUCUAAAGUUAACAUCAGUUUACAUUACUUACUUACUUUGUGUUUUGUACUCCAUAAAUGUCAGUGUUAUAAUAAACUUUUUAAUCAUAAUAAAA